Molecule: long non-coding RNA, 206 nt
Filed under: Mustela putorius furo (domestic ferret)
Lineage: Eukaryota; Metazoa; Chordata; Mammalia; Carnivora; Mustelidae
Description: lncRNA (ENSMPUG00000031199.1)
Source: RNAcentral
GGUGAGUCAUGGGGGAGGAGGCCAGCUUUCUUCAGCUCUCCCCCAAAAAAAGACCUGUUUUUAUUUUUAUUUUUCCAUUCCGUACACCCGUGCACUAGCAGAACAGAGAGAAAACCCUGGGAAGACCCCAAUAGGAAGAACACCUCCCUGUACUCAUUCAUCAGGAAUUGCCCAAGGGACUUGAUAUUUUUGUUAUUGCAUCCUAC